Molecule: transfer RNA, 77 nt
Filed under: Candidatus Bathyarchaeota archaeon
Lineage: Archaea; Thermoproteati; Candidatus Bathyarchaeota
Description: tRNA-Trp
Rfam family: tRNA
About the family: Transfer RNA (tRNA) molecules are approximately 80 nucleotides in length. Their secondary structure includes four short double-helical elements and three loops (D, anti-codon, and T loops).
Source: RNAcentral
GGGGUCGUAGUCAAGCCAGGCAUGACGACGGGCUCCAGACCCGUAGGUCGCAAGUUCAAAUCCUGCCGACCCCACCA